RNAcentral lists this transfer RNA (69 nucleotides) under Pithecopus nordestinus. RNAcentral's name for it is "tRNA-Val". It matches the Rfam family "tRNA". Rfam says of the family: Transfer RNA (tRNA) molecules are approximately 80 nucleotides in length. Their secondary structure includes four short double-helical elements and three loops (D, anti-codon, and T loops). The record is from RNAcentral. Lineage: Eukaryota; Metazoa; Chordata; Amphibia; Anura; Hylidae.
CAAAUUGUAGCUUAACCAAAGCAUUUCGCUUACACCGAAAAUAUGUCUGUUAAAAUCAGACCACUUUGA